This 757-nucleotide ribosomal RNA is filed under the name Mesorhizobium sp. RNAcentral's name for it is "partial 23S ribosomal RNA". It matches the Rfam family "Bacterial large subunit ribosomal RNA", at positions 591 to 1343 of the family's 2925-position model. Lineage: Bacteria; Pseudomonadati; Pseudomonadota; Alphaproteobacteria; Hyphomicrobiales; Phyllobacteriaceae. The record is from RNAcentral.
GGGUGACCACGUACCUUUUGUAUAAUGGGUCAGCGACUUAGUGUGACGAGCAAGCUUAAACCGAUAGGUGUAGGCGCAGCGAAAGCGAGUCUGAACAGGGCGUUCAGUUCGUCGCAUUAGACCCGAAACCGAGUGAUCUAGCCAUGAGCAGGCUGAAGGUAAGGUAACACUUACUGGAGGGCCGAACCCAUAACUGUUGCAAUAGUUCGGGAUGACUUGUGGCUAGGGGUGAAAGGCCAAUCAAACUCGGAAAUAGCUGGUUCUCCGCGAAAUCUAUUUAGGUAGAGCGUCGACCGAAUACCCCAGGGGGUAGAGCACUGGAUGGGCUAGGGGUCCUCACCGGAUUACCAAACCUAACCAAACUCCGAAUACCUGGGAGUACUAGUCGGCAGACACACGGCGGGUGCUAACGUCCGUCGUGAAAAGGGAAACAACCCUGACCUACAGCUAAGGUCCCCAAGUUAUGGCUAAGUGGGAAAGGAUGUGAGGAUCCCAAAACAACCAGGAUGUUGGCUUAGAAGCAGCCAUCAUUUAAAGAAAGCGUAACAGCUCACUGGUCUAAAUAAGGGUCUUUGCGCCGAAAAUGUAACGGGGCUAAAGCCAUACACCGAAGCUUAGGGUUCGUGAGCAAUCACGAGCGGUAGCGGAGCGUUCUGUAAGCCAGUGAAGCCGUACCCGUGAGGGGCGGUGGAGGUAUCAGAAGUGCGAAUGCUGACAUGAGUAACGUAAGGGGAGUGAGAGACUCCCCCGCCGAAAG